AUCAUCGUUGCUCUGCUGGUACA
RNAcentral lists this non-coding RNA (23 nucleotides) under Arabidopsis thaliana (thale cress). The record is from RNAcentral. Lineage: Eukaryota; Viridiplantae; Streptophyta; Magnoliopsida; Brassicales; Brassicaceae.